Molecule: ribosomal RNA, 253 nt
Filed under: uncultured bacterium
Lineage: Bacteria
Description: partial 16S ribosomal RNA
Rfam family: Bacterial small subunit ribosomal RNA
Source: RNAcentral
UACGUAGGGGGCAAGCGUUGUCCGGAUUUAUUGGGCGUAAAGAGCGUGUAGGCGGCCAUACAGGUCAGCUGUGAAAACUCGAGGCUCAACCUCGAGACGCCGGUGGAAACCGUAAAGCUAGAGUCCGGAAGAGGAGUGUGGAAUUCCCGGUGUAGCGGUGAAAUGCGCAGAUAUCGGGAAGAACACCCGUGGCGAAGGCGGCACUCUGGGACGGUACUGACGCUGAGACGCGAAAGCGUGGGGAGCGAACAGG